UGGCAGGUCAGCAUACUGCCGUGAAUACGUUCCCGGGCCCUUGUACACACCGCCCGUCACACCAUGAGAGUUGGAAAUACCCGAAGCCUGUGAGCUAACUUAAAGAGGCAGCAGUCGAAGGUAGAGCCAAUGAUUGGGGUGAAGUCGUAACAAGGUAUC
RNAcentral lists this ribosomal RNA (159 nucleotides) under uncultured bacterium. Its description in RNAcentral is "partial 16S ribosomal RNA". It matches the Rfam family "Bacterial small subunit ribosomal RNA", at positions 1342 to 1500 of the family's 1533-position model. The record is from RNAcentral.